AGUGAACGCUGGCGGUAGGCCUAACACAUGCAAGUCGAACGGCAGCACAGUAAGAGCUUGCUCUUACGGGUGGCGAGUGGCGGACGGGUGAGGAAUACAUCGGAAUCUACUUUUUCGUGGGGGAUAACGUAGGGAAACUUACGCUAAUACCGCAUACGACCUACGGGUGAAAGCAGGGGAUCUUCGGACCUUGCGCGACUGCACGAGCCGAUGUCGGAUUAGCUAGUUGGCGGGGUAAAGGCCCACCAAGGCGACGAUCCGUAGCUGGUCUGAGAGGAUGAUCAGCCACACUGGAACUGAGACACGGUCCAGACUCCUACGGGAGGCAGCAGUGGGGAAUAUUGGACAAUGGGCACAAGCCUGAUCCAGCCAUACCGCGUGGGUGAAGAAGGCCUUCGGGUUGUAAAGCCCUUUUGUUGGGAAAGAAAAGAAGCAGGUUAAUACCCCGCUGUUCUGACGGUACCAAAAGAAUAAGCACCGGCUAACUACGUG
This 492-nucleotide ribosomal RNA is filed under the name uncultured bacterium. Its description in RNAcentral is "partial 16S ribosomal RNA". It matches the Rfam family "Bacterial small subunit ribosomal RNA", at positions 29 to 507 of the family's 1533-position model. The record is from RNAcentral.